Molecule: RNA transcript, 1974 nt
Organism: Felis catus (domestic cat)
Lineage: Eukaryota; Metazoa; Chordata; Mammalia; Carnivora; Felidae
Gene: DCDC2C
Gene name: doublecortin domain containing 2C
Exons: 14
Source: RefSeq, a predicted model, not a curated record
GGUGCCCCGCGGCUGGAGCGCAGCGGGCGGUGGCCGGCGGCCCUUCGACGGCGGGGCCAUGGGCACGCGCAGGCCACACGUGCUGGUGGACACGACGCCGGCCAAGACAAUUUUGGUGUACCGCAACGGGGACGCGUUCUUCGUGGCCCGGAGGUUGGUGGUGCCGCGGCGCCGCGUGCCCACCUUCGAGGCGCUGCUGGAGCAGCUGACCGAGCAGGUGGACGUGCCGUUCGGCGUGCGGCGCCUCUUCACGCCCACACGCGGGCACCCGGUGCGCGAGCUGCAGGCGCUGCAGGCGGGCGGCAAGUACGUGGCGGCCGGCCGCGAGCCCUUCAAGAAGCUUGAUUAUAUUCAUAUAGUACCCAGGAAACCUGGAAAGAUGAGCAAGUUGAAGGAAAUCAAACCGGUGGUACAUUGUGACCUGAAUGUGCCUUCCAGGUGGCAAACCUUCCAGCGAACGUCCAGGCUCGUCAAUGUUUUCACAAAUGGAAGACUAUUUAUCCCACCCGUAAAAAUUAUCAUACCCAAAUUCAGUCUGACGGAAUGGAAUAGCGUGCUGGCCAUGAUUGGGGAAAAAGUCUUCCCUCUAGGAGGCGUUCAAAAAUUAUUUACCAUGAACGGGCAUCUUCUGGACAACUCAAAGGAUCUGCAAGAUAACCACUUUUACGUGGCGGCAGGACCGGAGACCUUCAAAGAUUUCCCUUACUGGAAAUCCUCUAAGGUGCCCAGCGAGGUCCAACGAAAGUACGCGGACAUCGAGAAAUACUCAAGAGAAAAGAAAAAAGAGGGUUCCAAAGGAAAAGAAACGCAUAAGCAUGACAGCAUUCCCCGUAAGGAACGGGAUUCUGUUUUUUACGCCAGAGCGGGGAAGAAGACGACGCUGGUGGCACCCUCAUUCCAAAGCGGUUCAGAAGGUGACGUGUUUAGAGCCCAGACUCCAAGCGCAGAUACCCAGGAGGCGCCAGAAGUCAAAGAAGACAGCAGUGUGCAGGUGGAGGUGCCGGUGGACCAGACGCCGGCUGAGAUAGUCACGGAAGACGAGGAGAUACACGAUAACCCCUCUGAUUUCGAAAGCAUCAAGGAAAAAGAAGAUGAAGGGUCUUAUGAAGAUAAUGGAAGAAAGGAAGACAAUUCACGAAUGUCUUUUAAGAAAAGGUUUUCCUUAAGACACAGCACAAAGGAAAAAGAAAAAGAACCAUAUGACCUUCUAGAGGGAAAAAACACACCUGUACUACUAGAAGCCCCAGUGAAAAUAGAAGACCAAAGACAACCACCAAUGGGACAGCAAUCAUGAGAAGAAUCAUCAUCAGGACGAUCAGAAGAAAAGCCUGAAGACCAAGAAUUGCUCGAACAGCCAUCCUGGGGGCAGCCAUCCCAAGAACAGAUACCCGACAAACGAGAACCAUCUGAACAGUCCUCCUUGACACAAUUAUCCCAAGAACAGAUACCUGACACACGAGAACCAUCGUACCUGAACAGCCAUCGUUGGGGCAAAAAGAGAUGACACACGGAGGAAAAACUGAACAAAUACCAUGAAAACAACAUAUCAGCCAUGUUGUAAAGAAUAACAGUCAGAAGCUAGAAAGGAUCGUACGGCAAAUGAAAAGAAAAUUAGACAUUUAUUUCACGGUAUGCUAAAGAGAGCGGCUGCACCAGUUUGCAUUCCCACCAACAGUGCAAGAGUGUCUCUGGGAUAUUUUCAUGCAAUACUGUAGAUUCUCAACGUGCCACAGGCUGCCAUCUAGAAAAGCACCCAGAACAUGCAGUAAAAUGUCCUAGUUGAAGAAGCUGUAGGCUGUUUGCCUUUACAUCUGGGUGAAAAAAAAAAAAGAAAUCAUGUGCUACUUACAAGGCGAAAUUUUCACAGUAGAGACUUCAGUGUCAUUUGGCGGGUACGGAACACUGUCACGUUCAAACCUGAAAGGUAUUGACUGUUACAACUAUGGUUAAACUAUUACAACCAUCGACAAUAGA